UAAGGAAGUGUAAGGUGUGAAAGCAGGACAAAGGGAAUGGAGAUCAAGGAACAUGUAGAAUAGAUCAUUGUUAGUUGGGAGAAGGUAACAACAAAGCAGACAGGGGUAAAAUGUAGUCGGUGACAGUAAGACUGGACGGAUAACUGUGAAGGGGGAGGUGAUGGAGAGGGAAAGCAAGGGUUACUUGAAGUUAGAAUAGUCAAUGU
Amblyraja radiata (thorny skate) is the source of this 206-nucleotide long non-coding RNA. RefSeq lists it as uncharacterized. NCBI's taxonomy places the organism in Eukaryota, Metazoa, Chordata, Chondrichthyes, Rajiformes, Rajidae. The record is from RefSeq and is a predicted model, not a curated record. The transcript is spliced from 3 exons.